Long non-coding RNA from Ornithorhynchus anatinus (platypus), 2125 nucleotides. RefSeq lists it as uncharacterized. The record is from RefSeq and is a predicted model, not a curated record. Lineage: Eukaryota; Metazoa; Chordata; Mammalia; Monotremata; Ornithorhynchidae. The transcript has 2 exons.
UUGCUUGUAUCCACCCCAGUGCUCAGUACAGUGUCUGGCACGCAGUAAGCACUUAACAAAUGACACAGUUCUUUUGAAGUUUUAGAUGGCUAGGACUACCCCUGGCCCUCAGCUCCUGGACAUCGCCGACCCGCCCAUGCCGUUUCAUUUCCAGCCCAGUGCCGGCCCGUGGGCGUCCCCCGGUGCCCCCCGCCAGGGCGGGCCGCCCGACCUCCCCCGUGGGCACCCAAACAGCCAGUCGUUAAGGCAGGCCCCGGGUCCCGGGGACGGGGGUGAGGACGGUGGUCCAAACGGGCUGGCUGAUGGGCAUCGGCCCCGCGUCCAGCAGUGACGCCCGGAUAAAAUAAUGCGACGGGAUUCGAUUGUUCUCUAACGGGGCACUGUGUCAUCGUGUCAGCGAGCGAUCGAGGUUAUUAUGGGGCAGGGCAGGCGGGACGGUGGGGUUACUAGACUGUAGCAUUUUUAGAACUACGGGGCUGACCUACUUAGACGGAUUCUGGCUGGCUGGCAGCUGCCUGAUGCCGCGAGUGUCCUGAUAGGCCGAAGCUGUUGCUAGGGGAAUUAACAUGAAUUUUUCCACACACACACACACACACACACACACACACUCACUCACAGAGUCGGUGGCUGAAAGAUAAAAGCUGACUGAAAUUACAGGGAUUCGGUUUAGCAUUAUACAAAUUUAUCUCCCCCCUUUCCCCCUGCCCGUUUUUCCCCGCUUCAGGGCCGAGAAGGAGAGCGAAAUGCCGUUUUUGUUUACACUUGUCCUCUGACCUAUUUUUCUGGAGUCAGGAGGGAGGAGAACAGAACCCCGGAGACAUUUCAGUAAUCUCUGACGGUUUAGGUCAUUCAAAUGAUGUGGCAAAUGGGAAGAUACUUAAGCUCAGAGAUUGCUGGGAAGUAGCUACAAAUGGCUUAGCCUCUUUCCUCCAUGCAACCCGCCCCUGCCCCCACCCCAUUCUGUUCACUAAGCUAUUUUAAAGUUGGCCACGUUCCGUGUAUUUAAACACCCUUUCCCUUUUGGGUAAGAACAAAACAUUUAUAUAAAUCCCACCCUCUCCAAACAGAUGGGAACGGGCCAUCGCUACCUUGUUUAAAAUAAGACCUCCAGGAUUCCAGAUUUAGAAUGGAAAAUACAUACCAUCUUUUAUUUUGAGAUCGGCUCGAAGAGUCGGUCCAGUGUUUACGCUUCCCGGUGAACCCAGACGCCUCUCCCCCUGCACCAUCUCUCCUGUCUCCUCAAACGCUGGGGACCCUGGGGUUUUUCCACCGAGGAAAGUAUGCACGUUGGCUUUAUCUGGAAAAUGUUUUCCUCGUCGCUGACAUCUGCUCCACGUGUGGGCAGCUCGUCUAAUCAAUUUUCGAAGAUGACCUAUUUUCCCUCCCCACUGUGUCCCCCAGCCCCGGUCGAGAGAUCCGCAGGUGUUUCUCCUUAGCCUGUCUUCUCUCCCGACCCCCGAAGAAUCAGCCCCGUGUCGUCAGCGCCCAGAAACUCUCCCGGGAGGAAAAUAAAAACAAUGCCCCCAUCAAGGAUCUCUUGAUGUAAUUAUGAAUAUUUCCUCUGUUAUGAUCGCUAAUUAUAGGCGGUCUCUCGCUUGGACAACAAUCCGCCCCCCAAGAGGAUUCCACUUGGCUGUGUGAAGGGAGUCGCAACCCAGCGUGUUUUCCAAUUAUUUUCCACGACCGCAGGUUAUGAUGUCACAAGUAAACAAAACAGGACCUCGGCGGCUCGGGGUAGAGGGAGAAAGCCAGGUUGCAAGAUGGAAUCUCCCGGCCCCGGGAUAAAGGACGGGAUCAAACGGUGGGGGUGGAAUUUUGUUUUCGCUGAGGCUCUGUGGGGAGAGUUAAAUGCUUUUAAAGAUAAUGUAAACAGCAUUCAGAUCUGUCUAGACACCCAGAUUUUCAGUGAUCCCAGCGCUGUUCUUUCUCAGCGGAGCCUUCGGAGCAGGUUCAGAAGACUCAAUACGGAGCUAGGACCAGAAUCGGGCCUACUGACGCUAAUGUACUCGUCCAAGUGCUCCGGACAACGUUCUACACCGCUGGAUGCUCAGAACAGUGGCCGUGCGAACAGGCACUCGGGACAGUCCCGUCCACCGUACACAGUAAUAAUAAGCGAUAUUUUCUA